CUAAGUUAUUUUAUUUAUUUAUUUAUUUAUUUAUUUAUUUAUUUAUUUAUUUAUUUCAGAAGUCAUGUGGGUAUCCCAGUUCAUGGAAAUUUACUAAUUGCAGAAUCCUGUCGGAAAGCUGUGUGAUACAGCAAUGGGAUGGCCAUGGCUAUUUUCACUUGAAGUUAGUGAGAAGUGCAAAGGCCUUGAUGAAGGUAAGAUGCCUUGGUCUCCUUGACUGGACCGUGCCAGUUGAUACCGUGAGUACUUGGAUUAGUGCCUCACACUCGAAAGGCCAUAAAUGGCAGUUAUUACUACAGAAACAUUUGCAAUAAACACAGGCUUAUGAGGGUGGU
Molecule: long non-coding RNA, 335 nt
Filed under: Cricetulus griseus (Chinese hamster)
Lineage: Eukaryota; Metazoa; Chordata; Mammalia; Rodentia; Cricetidae
Description: lncRNA (ENSCGRG00000025008.1)
Source: RNAcentral